AGGGAUCAUUACAGAGUUGCAAUACUCCAACCCUUUGUGAACCACAACCUCCAGUCGUUGCUUCGGCGGGCCCGCCCGCCGGAGGUUCAAACAAACUCACGUUUUCCAGUACGUCUUCUGAGCAAACAAGAAAAAAUAAAUCAAAACUUUCAACAACGGAUCUCUUGGCUCUGGCAUCGAUGAAGAACGCAGCGAAAUGCGAUAAGUAAUGUGAAUUGCAGAAUUCAGUGAAUCAUCGAAUCUUUGAACGCACAUUGCGCCCGCCGGUAUUCCGGCGGGCAUGCCUGUCCGAGCGUCAUUUCAACCCUCAAGCCCACUCCGGCUUGGUGUUGGGGCGCCCGGGGCUCCCAGCGGGCCCCGGGGCCCCCAAGUUCAUCGGCGGGCUCGUCGGAACCCUGAGCGCAGUAGCAAGGCCCUAAGAAGCCGAACCCCCUCGCUCGGCCCGUCCCGGCGUGCACACCAGCCGGUAAAGAGACCCCAACGGGAACGACAAAGGUGACCUCGGAUCAGGUAG
Molecule: ribosomal RNA, 514 nt
Filed under: Neocordana musicola
Lineage: Eukaryota; Fungi; Ascomycota; Sordariomycetes; Magnaporthales; Pyriculariaceae
Description: partial 5.8S ribosomal RNA
Rfam family: 5.8S ribosomal RNA (bases 145-298)
Source: RNAcentral